This 159-nucleotide ribosomal RNA is filed under the name Lasiodiplodia theobromae. Its description in RNAcentral is "5.8S ribosomal RNA". It matches the Rfam family "5.8S ribosomal RNA". From Rfam's summary of the family: 5.8S ribosomal RNA (5.8S rRNA) is a component of the large subunit of the eukaryotic ribosome. Lineage: Eukaryota; Fungi; Ascomycota; Dothideomycetes; Botryosphaeriales; Botryosphaeriaceae. The record is from RNAcentral. RNAcentral also lists the same sequence under 1 other name.
AACUUUCAACAACGGAUCUCUUGGUUCUGGCAUCGAUGAAGAACGCAGCGAAAUGCGAUAAGUAAUGUGAAUUGCAGAAUUCAGUGAAUCAUCGAAUCUUUGAACGCACAUUGCGCCCCUUGGUAUUCCGGGGGGCAUGCCUGUUCGAGCGUCAUUACA